AUAGUACUCACAAAGUUGGUGACUCUCACUGAUGAAGUCAAAAAAAUGCAGAUGAGCGUGUCUCACUCUGGAAUUGAAAUAACAAGGACGGACACCUUGGAAGAAUUCGAGAGGGAGGAGGCUUCUCUUCAGGAAACAACCAAAUUUGAAACCUUGGUUCGUCAGCUGGCAAGAGUGGGGGGGGAGACGUUAAAGACUGCACACACAAAGUGUUGGACAGGCUCUUCACCAAUCAACUCAUGACCCUAUUCAACAUGAAGGGGAAGGGCAAAAAAUAAAAAAUAGGAUUUGAAGACAAGAAAUGGUUUUCAGCAAUAAAAG
Paramisgurnus dabryanus is the source of this 321-nucleotide non-coding RNA. The record is from RefSeq and is a predicted model, not a curated record. NCBI's taxonomy places the organism in Eukaryota, Metazoa, Chordata, Actinopteri, Cypriniformes, Cobitidae.